CAGGGGCCAGAGGGUCUGGUUUUAUAGUCCCUUCAAGUGAAUUUGGGCCGUCGGAUCAAACCGACAUUAAUCGCACGGUUUUCCUUGAUCCUUUAGGUCGGUGGAGCAUAAUCCGCGAAACGUGUCCGAAUUGGUCCCUGGAAGUGGGCGGGCGCCCAAGGGACUAGGGCGGGCGCCCUGUGCCUGAGCCCUCUCGGCCUCCGCUUUGUUCCCGUGGCUUCUGGAGUCUUCUAGAUGGUAGAAAAUUGCGCAGCACGUUAAUAUCUCUAUGUAAACCCGACAUGUGGGCCUUUCUUCCGUAUUUCCUGAUAACCCCCUGCAGAAAUAGACAAACACCAAAACUCGUGGAAUUCUGUCAGAUAAAACCCUAAGUCUAGGUGUUGGUUGCAUUUGGAUCCGUUUCUAUGAUUAGUUGAUAGUUAAAUGUGAGCAUUAAGGACCGUCAACAAGCUCCCCCAAGCUUAACCUUUGCUCGUCCCUGAGCAAAGAUGGACUCAAGAGUUUCUGCAGUGGUUUCAUGCCUUAAAGAUACACAUGCGUUGAAACAAGAUCUCACCUCUGGGUUAGGGUAAACUAUUAAGAUUUAAACUUACCCAUUGUACCUUCCACCAUGGGGCUUGCAACCGUCACUUGUGUCUUGAGCAAUUAAAAGAUAGAACGGUCUAGUCAAGCGCCAUGUCUCUUGUUCUUCAAUUAACUAUAGCUCUGGAGUUUUUGCAGAUUUUCAAAUAAAACUCAGAGAUUCCUUGUAUGACUCUCUCUAGUCUCUCUUUUGUGGUAUUUCUGGAUCCUUACCAAGGCAGUAAAGGUGUAUGUCUUCUCUCAAAGUAUGUGGUAUUUCUGGUAUGAGGCAUAGUGACAUUGCCUUCUCUCUCACUCUACUCUAAUAAGGUUUUUUUUUAUAUCUGGAGCUGAUAGGUGGGAGACAGCUAAUACAUACUUACAAGACAUUUAUUGCAUAGUCAAACCAUGGAUCCAGAGUAACAAGUCAAUAAGUCAAAUCAAGAUGUGCAUGUGUGGCGAGUGAAUGGUGUAUGGUGGUGAUGGUGAUAACAAUGGUGAACGUCUAAUUCUACUUGUGCUCUUUUGAGGGAAUACAUAUAUUUCUUGCUCUUUUGAAACUUUUUGAGGAGAAUGAGAUGCUCUAUAUUUUCUUUUUCUUUCCUCUCAGGUGGGUAUCUUGUACCCCUAAUUCUACUAUCGGACACUUGUCCAUUUUUACCUCUCGUCUCACUUUUUUUUCUUUUCUUUCAAGGUUCCGGGCACUUGCCCCUUUUUAUUUCCUCGUAUUCUUUCUCUCUUUUUUUUCUCUCUAUUUUUAGAGCACUCAUCUCCUGAAAUAAUAUAGCAAGUGGUAGUAACCAAGAUAACUUGAGCAUUUAUUUCACAGGGAAAAACAAAAAUGUUUUUGACUAUUCUCUCCCGGAUUAGGAAUAGAAUAUUUUUAGGUGAUUCUGGAGAUGGAAAUGGAUGGAUAUAUGUGGAUGCGUACCUCCGAAGUAGAAGCAGCAUGUAUGAGUGAACGUGCAUGUGAAUCUUGAUUUAACCACAUGACAAGCUCCUAAGGGUCUAUACAGCUUGACCACACUCAAUGCUCAUAAGCAGUAAAAAGUAAAUGUGUGGCUCAAAGUCUAGCAAGCAUGUAUAUAUGGCUGUGGUAGGAAUUUAAACUCUCAUCAUAUAGGAACUCAUCAUGCAACAUUUUGAAAUAUUUUCAAAGAUAAAAUUUUCCAGAAUUCUAGCAUCUCUAGGAACAGAUAAACAACAGCUCAACCUUCCCAUAUCGUAUCCGUUAAUGACUUAGACUUUAGAUCAAGUACUCUUCCCACAAGUUUAGGUUUAGAGCAAAUCUUAAUUAAUACCAGUCAUGCCUAAACUUAAGAGAGAUUUCAAUUUUGGGAACUAGUCAUGGCAGAGCAACUAUUCAUCAUUUCCAUGUGAGAGCUUAUCAUGAGGGUUCAUAGCAAACUUUAUUUAUUUAUUUAUUUAUCAAACUAAUCAAAGAUAUAUAUAUAUAUAUAUAAGCAUAUUAGAGUAAAGUAUAAACGUGAGUAGAAUACUUAGCUGGAUAAAUGGGGUUGCUCUCCCCCAAGCUGGAUUUUGACGUAAUUCCUUUUGAUGUAGCAAGUGGCGGAGGUGUACUUGAAUGUCGGCAGCACCCUGACAGUGAUUAGGAUGUCCUCCGUCUGCUAGUCUUCUUUGAUUCUUGAAUUCUGUGGAGCUCAAAUAGACAACAAAGCUUUGUGGAGCUGGUUAAGUGUUAGCAUAAAUAUCUAGCCUUUAUCAUGUUGAGCCUCCUCAAUAAAUGUUACUCUCUUUAGUAGGAUCAUAAUUUUAUUUUUAUAAUUUCAUUUUUAUAGGACAGGAAUAUAUUUAUUUCAUUUUUAUGGCACCACAGUGAAUGUACUUAUGGGUUUUAUGCCAUGAGCAUACUCACCUGGGGCUUACUAUUUUUAACAUUUUUAUUUUCUUUUCAAGAUGAUAUAAACCUGAUUAACUAAGAAAACUAUUUUAAAUAGUUGAAAGGAAAAAGAUAACUACCAUGUUUACCUCUUGGCAAGGCGUUCGGUGUUUUUAAGUCCUCCGAACUAGACUCUUCAUUUUCUCAGUCGUCCUGGGAUUCACUGGAUGGCGUAGUCGGUGGUUCCGGCGGCGCCUGCUCUUCGUGUAUAGUUAUCUUCUCUCUACACACCUGACUCGGUGCUACGGUCUCCUCAGGACAGUUCUGUUCAAGCUGUAUAUCUUCAGACCUUACAACUUCUCCAUCAUAGUCUACCCAUCCGUCCUUGAUGAUUUUGCCUUCUCUGGUUGCAGUUGCGUCGUCUCCUUCUUGUCCUGACCUGCUUAGAGUCUUCAACUAUAUAGUUAGGGUCAGUAAAAUAGUGGCGUACCUUCUCAGAGGGGAAGUUCAUGUGGACUUCUCCGGUUCCAAUGUAGAUGAUUAUUUUAACGGUGCUGAGGAACUGUCUCCCAAUGGUGAUGGGUGGAUUGUACUCGUCUUCUCCCAUGUCAAUAACCUUAAAAUCAUCUCGAGCUGAAUGUAUGUUGGUUAUAGGGGCAUGGUUCCAUACAGGAGCUGAUAAGUGACUGCGGCCAUUAUGUUGAUGUCAGAUCCGGUGUCGUAGAGUGUCUUGUGAAAAGAAUAUCCAUUGAUUGUGCACUCGAUGCUUGGAACACCAGGGUCAUCCUUCUUGGUCAGGAACGGUGACUGAAGUUGACGAUCUUGACCUCCUUGAACUGCAGUGACCAUCUUAGCUGACUCGGUCCACACUUGCUUGUUCCUGUUCCUCCGGUUGGUCCUCUUCCUUGGUUCAUGUCGGGAUUGCUUUGAUAUUUGUGUAGUCUUGUUCUUGAAGGAAAACGUCUCCUUCCUCCCCUUGAUGUAGAAACUGAUCUUGGCAGCACUAGCGUAGAUGGUAGCUCAUGAGGUGUUCAGGAAUGGCCUCCCUUGGAUGAUGCGUGCCCUCUCAUCAGUACCAGUCUCUAUUAUCACGAAGUCUGCUGGGGCGUACAAGGUACCAACUCGGAUGCAGAGGUUCUUCAAUAUUCCCUUUGGGAAACUUAGUGUCUGAUCUGCAAGCUGCAAACACAUGGUUGUUUCUAGUAAAGGAUGUGUAAAGAAUUUUUUCAUAGAGUACCCUAGGCAUAAUGUUG
This 3654-nucleotide long non-coding RNA is filed under the name Sorghum bicolor (sorghum). RNAcentral describes it as "long non-coding RNA (SBIC_LNC012387)". The record is from RNAcentral. Lineage: Eukaryota; Viridiplantae; Streptophyta; Magnoliopsida; Poales; Poaceae.